RNAcentral lists this unclassified non-coding RNA (254 nucleotides) under uncultured Remersonia. RNAcentral describes it as "sequence contains ITS2". The stretch from base 1 to 52 matches the Rfam family "5.8S ribosomal RNA", at positions 103 to 154 of the family's 154-position model. Lineage: Eukaryota; Fungi; Ascomycota; Sordariomycetes; Sordariales; Sordariaceae. The record is from RNAcentral.
AACGCACAUUGCGCCCGCGAGUAUUCUCGCGGGCAUGCCUGUUCGAGCGUCAUUUCAACCAUCAAGCCCCCGGCUUGUGUUGGGGACCUGCGGCUGCCCGCAGGCCCUGAAAUCCAGUGGCGGGCUCGCUGACACACCGAGCGUAGUAGAUUUACAACCUCGCUUUGGGAGUGCUGCGGGUGCUAGCCGUAAAACGACCUUGUCUUUAGCACUAGGUUGACCUCGGAUCAGGUAGGAAGACCCGCUGAACUUAA